Molecule: long non-coding RNA, 6713 nt
Filed under: Solanum melongena (eggplant)
Lineage: Eukaryota; Viridiplantae; Streptophyta; Magnoliopsida; Solanales; Solanaceae
Description: long non-coding RNA (SMEL_LNC000155)
Source: RNAcentral
UUUUAUAAAUAGUGUUAACACAAAAUGCUUUGUGUAUCGAGUUGCGAGAGAUAUAAGGCCUCCAUUUCUUGUUAGUACAACUAUAAGAAUAGUAAAAUAUUGCACUCAACACUUGCUUUUCGUUCUAACUAAACUAAAAAUGAUUUAAAAGUUGUAAUUUUGAUUAAAUCCACCUAAUUCAAAGUUGAACACUUCUAAAGGAAGUCAACUGAAUUAAAUGCUUAUUAUAAAGUCUAAUUCUAAUUUAAUAUUAGGCUAGUUUGAUGUACAAAUCAUUCAAUUUUUUAUUUUUAUUUUUUGUAGUUAAAUGGUUAUUUAAUAAGCUAAUAAUGUUUAGUUAGUUUAAACUUGGAGAGGGUUUAUGCUCAUUUAAAAUACAAUAUUAUUAUUAUUAUUACUAUUAUCAUCAUCAUCAGAGUUUGUCAAUCACACAUCAUUUUUCGAAUGUCUUUCCAAAAUAUUUUAUCCUCAAAUGUCAAACUAACGAGCCAAGAAAGCUCAUUUAUCUUAUUUUUAAUUUAUAUUUUUUUCAGAUUAUAUAGUAUAAACAUAUAAAAUCAAGUGAAAUGACAUUCCUUGACGUAUGAUGGAUCCGCCCUGCGUUAUAUUCUUGUAUCAACCAACGAUAUUGGUCUUUUAGCAAAGAGGAAAUGAAUUUGAUUAAUCUUAACUAGUUUGUAAUUUUAAUCCCUUUUCUAUGAUAUUUUUAAUUAAAUAACAAAUAUUAUAUAACUCGGACAAAAUGAGUCACUGUCGUCUAUGGAGGAAUCACGGGUGCGAUUCUGGAGCAAGCAGCCAACAAAAUUGACUAGGGCUUGUAACUUGUAAUCACGUGUGCUUGCCUACCCUCAAAAUGUCUCGAGUUUUGUUAACGCGGAAUGUUUUCUGUAUUGAAGUCGAAAUAUUUUUUGUUUGUAUGUUUGAACUAAAUCUUAAUUUAAUGAAAUAUCUUAAGUCUCGAUUAAACGUUUUCCGUUCAAAUUUUGGAAAAAUAUUUGUAUGCAUUGAUCUUAUUCAUUUAUUAGACAAUAUUUAAAUUAAUCAGAUAGAAUAUGACGUUUUUCUUCAAUUAUAAGCAUCUAUAUCAAUAAAACUCGUAAAACCCCAUGUAUUUUCUAAUAAAAGAAAAUAAUAUUAACUUAACUAUCAUGGAGAUAAAUGAAAACACAUACUUUUUUCAAAUUUUGAAUAGAAAACGUUUAAGAAGGAGUGUAGGACGUGUUAUUAUUAGAUGUUGAGGUGUUCAGUUGAAAUAUAACUUCAUUGGAGUAUUUAAAUAAAAUAUCUCGACAAGUUAAAAUAGCUGACUAUAUAUUAAGCCAAUUUUAUUUUUACAUAAAUAGCUACCAAGUUUGAUCUCAUUUAAUUUCCUUUUUUGUGAUUAUGCUUACUUCUACCAUUUAAAAAAUAUAUCUAUUAUUAUAUGUGAAAACAUGAUUUAAAUAUUUUGUCCUAUAUAUAAUGAUAUACACUUUUACUUAAUUGUAAAAAAUGAAUUCAAGUAAAAGUUAUUUCCAUUUUCAUUAUUAUUAUUAUUAUUAUUAUUAUUAUUAUUAUUAUUAUUUGCGUGUCAUAUAUAUUACCUUAGAAAAAAAUAUCUUGAUAUAUAUAUUUAGACUAAAAAAUUGUUCUAACACGACAUAAACUUAAAUGGAGGAAUUUUAAUGUACUAAACAUGACAUUCUUGAAAGAGGUGUGGUUGCAUUCUAAAAAAAAAUCAAUAAAAAAUUGAAUCUUACAACAAAAAUUAAUAUAACAUUUUAGAUCAAGAAAUAUUUCAAUAAAAAAUACUUUAUGAAAAAUCUUCCAUUUACCUGGAGUAUAAGAUUUAAUAAUUGGAUAAGAUACAGAGAUAUAAGAAUAUAAAUGAUUUGGAUGGCUUAAAAAAUCUAAUUUCACUCGUAUAAAAGAGAAUAAUAAAAAUUAUUGAUAUGAUAUAAUUUUUAAAAAGUCUAUGGCAAUCUUUUUGUAUAUUUUUGUUUAUUUAUAAAAAAAUAUUAAAUACUGAAUAUCUUAACGAAAAUUUUAAUUUCACCACUGAACAAUAAUAUUAUAUUUGAACCUAAAGUAAUGUAGAUUCCUAUCGAAGCUAAAGAUUGGUGAAAGUUAGGAAUUAGAUGCUCACUGAAAAAUUCUAGGUUGCAGUAGCCAUCACAAUUAAACAACAUAGAAUCAAAUUCAAUUCAAUUCCCUAAUUCUUUUUUUAUUUUAUUCAUAUCUGGUGUUUGAUAUCAGUAUUAAAAUUUGAUUAAUUUAAAUUUAUUUUGCAUACGACUCCAUUCAAGGGGAAGCAUUUUCUAUCAAAGAUUUUUUUAAUAUUAAGAAUUCGAACUUAAGACUUCUGAUCAAAUAAAAAAUUUUAUUCACUGCACCAGAUCGUUUGACGGUAACUCAAUUCUCUUAUCACUUGUAUUUCUUUCUCUUAAACCUUAUAUAUACUUGAGAAUUUUUUGCUUGUUCAUAUUGGAAAAAUAUAAUGGGUAUUUUCAUGAGCUGCAUGGGAGAAGGUUAGUGAUCUCCUUCCUAUUUUUUUUAUUAGAAAGAGAAGUGUUAUUGUUCGCGAUGUUAAAUAAAUAAAUGCUUUCUCAUUAAUUAUUUUUAAAAAUAUUUUAUUUUUCUUUCUAGCACUUUAAAACGAGCUAGAAAACUACUUUUAAAACAAGAAAAAUAAGAGUUAUAUUGAUUUUUAACUAUUCGAUUCGAAUAAGUAUCCUUCCCUCCAACCCUUACUAUGAAUUAAAGAGAUGAAUUAUAUAAACAUACAAAACUCCUAUUAUAUAUACACACAAUCUGACAUAAUUGAAAGUUCCUAUAAUAAAUUGAUAACUUUGGAAAAAGGAGGAAUGUACUAUUUCAAUAUUCCUUUAAAAAAAUUGGAAUAAGAAAAUAAUAAAAGCAAAAUUUUCCAAUUAUAUUCCAAAAAUAGCUAGAAAUAUUAUAUAUUUUUUAAUCCUAAUUUAAGUGACACAGAUCGAAAUUUGAGAAUCAAAUCGUUCUAGUUUGACCGCUUAUUCAAAUAUAUAUAUAUAUAUUUUUUAAAUUUUGAAAAUAAAAUUUACAUAUUUUAAAAUUAUGCAACAAGUACAAUAAGUCAUAAUAUUUAAACGAGAUGUGAAAAAAUUAUCGUAAGAAAAAAGGUUUGUUUAAAUUUCGAAAUCAUAAUGGUUUAAUCAGCCUCGGAACUAAACAGGCCUAGGCCCAAAAUUUGUAUCAGCUCUAUUGGGCCUAACCCAAUGAGUACAAUUUUCAAGCCCAGUUCAAAUCCAGUUAUUCAUAUCUCUUAACAAUUCCCCUUUUCAUAGUGGUGGCCUAGGGUUUUACUCUCUCGCGUUCUUCACUAGGGUUUCAGGUUUGCCGUCUGCUUCAAUUUUUCCCUUGUAUAGAUCUGUUUAUGUUUGAUCUGAUGUUUAAUGUUCAAUUUGUGACUUGUUUUAGUUUGAUAAAUUGAAUUUUGCGGUUCCACCAAUCCUAAUUUUGUUUAAAAUUUCAUUGAAUUGAAUAAAUUAAUCGUUUUAUUGAAUUCGAACAUCUUACGCUGAGUUUUAGUAGCUCAAUUAGUUAACUAUCUGAAUUUUCAGCUUGUUUGGGAUUUUUUUUUGAAAAAUAUCAUUUUUUUGAUGGUUCGUGCAUAUGUAUACAGUGUGUUGUUGAACUCAUUAGUUACUAUUUGUUGCUGCUACUGUUUUCUUCUUCUUUAUUUUUAGCAUGAGAUUUUUUUCCUGUUCACAUGUGUGAAGUAUAUAAUUUAGUCGAUCUGAAUGUCUGUCCGAAACAACCUCUCUGCGUUCAGAAGUAAGGUGUGAGGUUGCUUACACUGAGUAUGCUGUGGUUGCAUAGUGAAAGCAGUUUUAAUAGGUAGCCUCACCUUUUUAAUAUAAUUUAAAACAUAAAUGUAUAUAUCUUAUACGUAGAAAAAUAGUAUUCCAGACUGCGUGGUAUUCGCCACAGAGAAUAAUUUGUGAUGGAGUUCAGUUCUUAAUCACUUGUAGCAAAUCUUAAUUUUUACACACUUUCAUACAAUUGUAGAUUAGGGUUUUUAGUGAAAUAGGAUAGACAGAUUGUUUGCAGAUAUUGCAAUCAUCUGUGUAUACAACAUAAAUUCUUUAUAAUUUAAGUAUUCUAUAGUGCUACCAAGAAAACAGAGCUGAAAUAACUCUGUUUCUGAUGAUUUUGGCAUAUUUCAGACACAGUACCAUUGAAUUUCUUAUUAUUACCUUGUGAAUUCUUAACUUCUUUUAUAUAUGUCUGACCAAAGUGUGUAUUCCUUUAUAGGUUAUUAUUCCGAGAUGUCAAGAGUGUACGUUGGAAAUCUUGAUCCUAGGGUCACUGAAAGAGAACUAGAAGAUGAAUUCCGUGUCUUUGGAGUUAUAAGAAGGUAAAGCAAAUCCUACGUAAAUUUGUAUUUUUAAUUUGUAUGCAUUGAUGACCUCUUAAAAGUAGGAUGUGCAAUUCUUUUGGUGAUUGGCUGCUGAAUAUUUAUUAUAGAGCCUAGCAAGUAAAUUUGUAGUUUACAACUAGAACCCGUUAUUAGUAAUUACUAGUCAUCCCAUCAUCAUUGCUUUUAUUCCUUCAAACUUCGUGAAUGAAGCAUAAAUUAACAAUCUGACAUGAGGGAGCUUAAGUCUUUAUUUUUUAUCAAAUAGAAGAUAAUUUAUUCUAACUUAACAAGUAUACCUGUUUCUCUAAAGCAGUAUUUAGAUGUAGUGGUUGUAAGCUGUACUGCAGGCACUUUAUGUCCUCAUAUUAUGACUAACUUUGUAAGAAGUUUCUAGGGAAAUGAAUCUGGUAUAAGAUAUCCAUGCAUUUGUUGCUCUUUGAUCUGUUGAAACUCCUAUGUAUUGUUUCGAAUUCUUAAAAAAAGGACUGAUUAUUGAAUGCCAAAUAAAGUGACAUGUUGAGAUUUAAAUCAAAGGGAUUUGGGAUAUAAAUUCAGCUACUAAGAACAUUAGUAGAACUUUAGUAUAACUAGGGGCUAUUUCAUUUAUGGAAUUUGACUACUUGUUUUUCCAUCCUUAAAUGUUUUCUGCUUAGCGCACAAGACUCUUGAUGAAAUUUUUUUUUAAAAUGCUUGCAGUGUUUGGGUUGCAAGACGCCCACCUGGUUAUGCCUUUAUUGACUUUGAUGACCGUAGAGAUGCACAAGACGCAAUCAGGGAUCUGGAUGGUAUGGUCCCUUACUCAUGCAUAUGAUUCAACCUUCUGAAUGGGUUCUUAUCUUAUUUAUGGCUGUGUAGCCUUUAUCCGAAUUCAAUCUUUUUCAAAAUACUUUUGCAGCUUCAUAUCAAUUUUAUAUUUUUGCUCUGUAAAUAUAUCAAAUACUGAAGCAUUUUAAGCUUUUCUCUUCAUGAUACAUUAAACAGGUAAGAAUGGAUGGAGAGUGGAGCUCUCACAUAAUUCUAGAGGAGAAAGGGGUGGGGGCCGUGGAGGGGGUCGUGGUCGUUCUGGAGGUUCUGAUUUGAAGUGCUAUGAGUGUGGUGAGUCUGGUCAUUUUGCUCGUGAAUGCAGAGUGCGAGGAGGUCCAGGUCCUGGUAAACGUAGAAGUCGUAGCCCCCCUAGAUAUCGGAGGAGUCCAAGUUAUGGUCACAGGUUAGAAGAGAACUUUUCAUAUAUGUAGUAGGACGUGACAUUCGCUCUUACCCCCUUGUAAUUCCCUUAUUGAAACAGGAGUUAUAGUCCUCGUGGACGUUCCCCCAGGCGCCGAAGCGUGUCACCUCGUGGCCGUAGUUAUAGCCGAUCUCCAUAUCGUGGAAGAGAUGAAGUUCCUUACUCCAAUGGGUGAGUUUCCUAACUUUGGCAUCAUUUAUUGUUUCAUCUUUGUUGAUUGGGCAUUCCUUUUUGAAAGUGUUCGUACCUGAUUAAAGUUGGGUAAUUCUCCCUAAUGUGUGUGUAUAUAUAUACACAUUAGGAUUUUUUCUUGGAUAGUCAUUUAUAUCAUUUUGCAUCUGUUUGGUGUUUCAUGCCUUAGUUCGUGUAGCUUGUGUAUUGAUUGUGUUGCUACCUACCUACUUGUUUUGGGUUUUUGAUUUUGGGACAUUGUCUGGUCUCAUGCUGUACAAAUAUGUUUGUUUAUUUAUUCUUUCAUAUUGAUAAUGAAUCUUAUCAAUGCUCUUGUUAUCCUUAUCCUUCUUCUUCUUUGUAACACAGAAAUGGUGUCAGGGACCGAAUCAGAAGCAGGAGCUGAACGGAGAAGUUGAUUACUUAUCUCAUUCAGGAGUUUUUCGAUGUGUGUUAGCAUUACUAUGCUUGACUUGAUCACAGCUGUGUAAGUGAGGCCGUGCCCUCAACUUCAACGGCUUUAAUUUUCGUAUGGUAUUAUAAGUGUGUUUUUUUAAUUUCUUAACUUUCUCCCCUUUUAAGAACCAUUAUGUUAGGGACAUAGACCUUUUGUACUUUAUGGCAUCUAUUAUCUUUAGAAAAGAAAUAUCCUAAAGAAUGCUGCUAAAAAUUUACUUUUGUUUUCUUGUGUCGAGGUGUCUUCACGGUACUCUGCUUCGUUGGUUUUCUGCUCCCACACUCUGUGGUUUCGUUCUUCACUGCCCUGCUGUGGGAUCUUCAAUUUCAAUGAUUGUGGAUCCCAGCUAGCUACAUCACUAGAUGCUUCUGUUUGAUUGAAUCUCUGCUGCUAUGACACGCCUCACCUCAAAGUGUAGUGGUAUAUUAAAAGUAGAUAUUAAAGAUGAUGAAUGGCAUCACAGUCAUAUGACGGUACCUAAU